UCGAGGAUCUUCGGCAAUGGGCGCAAGCCUGACCGAGCGACGCCGCGUGUGCGAUGAAGGCCUUCGGGUUGUAAAGCACUGUCGAGGGGGAGGAAGCCGAAAGGUUGACCUAUCCCUGGAGGAAGCACGGGCUAAGUUCGUGCCAGCAGCCGCGGUAAGACGAACCGUGCGAACGUUGUUCGGAAUCACUGGGCUUAAAGGGCGCGUAGGCGGGUGGGCAAGUCUGCGGUGAAAUCCUCCAGCUUAACUGGAGAAGUGCCGUGGAUACUGCUUACCUUGAGGAGGGUAGGGGCAUCUGGAACGUUGGGUGGAGCGGUGAAAUGCGUUGAUAUCCAACGGAACUCCGAUGGCGAAGGCAAGGUGCUGGACCCUUUCUGACGCUGAGGCGCGAAAGCCAGGGGAGCGAACGGGAUUAGAUACCCCCGUAGUCC
RNAcentral lists this ribosomal RNA (431 nucleotides) under uncultured bacterium. RNAcentral describes it as "bacterial SSU rRNA". It matches the Rfam family "Bacterial small subunit ribosomal RNA", at positions 355 to 796 of the family's 1533-position model. The record is from RNAcentral.